UACGUAGGGUGCGAGCGUUAAUCGGAAUUACUGGGCGUAAAGUGUGCGCAGGCGGUCGUUCAAGUCGAGUGUGAAAGCCCCCGGCUCAACUGGGGAGGGUCAUUCGAUACUGAUCGACUCGAAGGCAGGAGAGGGAAGUGGAAUUCCCGGUGUAGUGGUGAAAUGCGUAGAUAUCGGGAGGAACACCAGUGGCGAAGGCGACUUCCUGGCCUGUUCUUGACGCUGAGGCGCGAAAGCUAGGGGAGCAAACGGG
This 253-nucleotide ribosomal RNA is filed under the name uncultured bacterium. RNAcentral's name for it is "partial 16S ribosomal RNA". It matches the Rfam family "Bacterial small subunit ribosomal RNA", at positions 524 to 776 of the family's 1533-position model. The record is from RNAcentral.